This 402-nucleotide ribosomal RNA is filed under the name uncultured Thioclava sp. RNAcentral describes it as "bacterial SSU rRNA". It matches the Rfam family "Bacterial small subunit ribosomal RNA", at positions 353 to 772 of the family's 1533-position model. Lineage: Bacteria; Pseudomonadati; Pseudomonadota; Alphaproteobacteria; Rhodobacterales; Paracoccaceae. The record is from RNAcentral.
AGUGGGGAAUCUUAGACAAUGGGGGAAACCCUGAUCUAGCCAUGCCGCGUGAGCGAUGAAGGCCUUAGGGUUGUAAAGCUCUUUCAGCUGGGAAGAUAAUGACGGUACCAGCAGAAGAAGCCCCGGCUAACUCCGUGCCAGCAGCCGCGGUAAUACGGAGGGGGCUAGCGUUGUUCGGAAUUACUGGGCGUAAAGCGCGCGUAGGCGGACUUUUAAGUCGGGGGUGAAAUCCCAGGGCUCAACCCUGGAACUGCCUUCGAUACUGGAAGUCUGGAGUUCGAGAGAGGUGAGUGGAAUUCCGAGUGUAGAGGUGAAAUUCGUAGAUAUUCGGAGGAACACCAGUGGCGAAGGCGGCUCACUGGCUCGAUACUGACGCUGAGGUGCGAAAGCGUGGGGAGCAAA